RNAcentral lists this ribosomal RNA (644 nucleotides) under Escherichia coli. Its description in RNAcentral is "partial 23S ribosomal RNA". It matches the Rfam family "Bacterial large subunit ribosomal RNA", at positions 1291 to 1920 of the family's 2925-position model. Lineage: Bacteria; Pseudomonadati; Pseudomonadota; Gammaproteobacteria; Enterobacterales; Enterobacteriaceae. The record is from RNAcentral.
CGAAUGCUGACAUAAGUAACGAUAAAGCGGGUGAAAAGCCCGCUCGCCGGAAGACCAAGGGUUCCUGUCCAACGUUAAUCGGGGCAGGGUGAGUCGACCCCUAAGGCGAGGCCGAAAGGCGUAGUCGAUGGGAAACAGGUUAAUAUUCCUGUACUUGGUGUUACUGCGAAGGGGGGACGGAGAAGGCUAUGUUGGCCGGGCGACGGUUGUCCCGGUUUAAGCGUGUAGGCUGGUUUUCCAGGCAAAUCCGGAAAAUCAAGGCUGAGGCGUGAUGACGAGGCACUACGGUGCUGAAGCAACAAAUGCCCUGCUUCCAGGAAAAGCCUCUAAGCAUCAGGUAACAUCAAAUCGUACCCCAAACCGACACAGGUGGUCAGGUAGAGAAUACCAAGGCGCUUGAGAGAACUCGGGUGAAGGAACUAGGCAAAAUGGUGCCGUAACUUCGGGAGAAGGCACGCUGAUAUGUAGGUGAAGUCCCUCGCGGAUGGAGCUGAAAUCAGUCGAAGAUACCAGCUGGCUGCAACUGUUUAUUAAAAACACAGCACUGUGCAAACACGAAAGUGGACGUAUACGGUGUGACGCCUGCCCGGUGCCGGAAGGUUAAUUGAUGGGGUCAGCGCAAGCGAAGCUCUUGAUCGAAGCCC